This 341-nucleotide unclassified non-coding RNA is filed under the name fungal sp. RNAcentral's name for it is "partial internal transcribed spacer region". The stretch from base 1 to 46 matches the Rfam family "Eukaryotic small subunit ribosomal RNA", at positions 1786 to 1831 of the family's 1831-position model. Lineage: Eukaryota; Fungi. The record is from RNAcentral.
AAGUCGUAACAAGGUCUCCGUAGGUGAACCUGCGGAGGGAUCAUUAACACAACGCAUGGUGGGUGCCAGUGGCCGUCAAACAGCUGCUGCUGCCCUGCCUUGUGGUUUCCAUACCUAUACACCCCUUCGUGAACUACUGUGCCUCUGUGCUGUUUUGCUUUCUGGCCUUCACUGGCCAAGAGAGUGGGCAGUGCCCCUUUUUUGUACCCCAAACCCUUUCCACCUCCUUUAUUGGAACUUGUUUUAGUACUCUGCUCUACUGCUGUGAUGGCGGUGGUGUCAGUGUGUUUACAACAACUAUACAAAAAGCACAACUCUUAGCAACGGAUAUCUUGGUUCUC